This 1738-nucleotide long non-coding RNA is filed under the name Papio anubis (olive baboon). RNAcentral describes it as "lncRNA (ENSPANG00000040173.1)". Lineage: Eukaryota; Metazoa; Chordata; Mammalia; Primates; Cercopithecidae. The record is from RNAcentral.
GAUAGAUUCUGGUCUAUGAGGUUUAAAUCUGUAAUUUGAAAAUAAUAUCUCCAGCAAGAAAUCAAUAAAUAACACAAGCUAAAGGGAUGCUCUGGGUUCCACAGGAAACCAAGGCCUCUGCAAAGAGGGGAGAGGCAACCCUGCUCUUAAGAGUGAAGGUUCAGAGCUGUAUGACACGAAUACCACCUGUCAGUAACUGUGAUGGAAAAUAUUAGCUUACAUUCUUCAGUUCCCUGGUGACUGACCAUAUUAGGCCUGAGCAACAUAUCUUACCACACUUGCUAAUCUGUGGAUUUCUAAAAGUGGAUAAUUAGUCCAGACAGCUAGAGCUCAAAAUGAAACGAGCUUAAGGUUUUCAGGAAUUACAGCAGGUGCCUGACGGGUCUGCCUUUCAGGCCUGACCUAUUUCUGCCCGUGCCUGGGGGAGGGCUCAUCUCCUCAGACUGAUGGAUCUUACUGGCACGUUCACCACCCAUUUAUGCCCAAACUUAGGACUGCUAACCUGGUAACCUUCCACUCUGAGAUAAGGCAGGAAAGUGGUGGCUGAAGCCUGAGUUCUUCUUCCAAUCACUGCAUCCUAAGCAUAUGGAUAGAUUCAGGCUUAUGAGAACGUGAUGAGGGUAAGAACAGAGACUCAGCAAGGCUGCUAGAACUGCCCAGAGUCACUCAGCCAGUCAGCAGCAGAGCUGAGCUAGAGUGCCCAGAGCCUGACACCGUCCAGGGUUUUAACCAUUAGCCCACACUAUCUCCAUGCGGGUGAUUGCUCUCUGCAGCUCUCCUCUUGGGGUAAGGAGAAUGAAGGAACCCAGUUAUUUUCUCCAGUAGAGUUCAUGGCUUCUCCCUUCCCAUCCCUCCCCACCUUCUGUCUGGUUUGAGUUUACUGUCAAAACACGCCCAGUCAAAUUACUUGUCUGCAGACAUUUUUGCUGGCCUUAGUGUAUCCACAAGAGAGCUGUUAAUGAUUACCCUUCCUGCCCGUACUUAGCUCAUCCUCAGAAGGGAACUGCUCAUUAUCAUUCUCUGACUGCAGGCUGGGCCGUCUGGAAACAGUCAGUCAGGAUUCUGGCGGUGGUAGAGCUGGAGCCCCGGCAUUUUCUGCCGUUGGAUCAUGUCGCUACCAAAAGUGACUCUCGGCUCUUGGGAGGCUGUGGGCCUGUGGUCCCUCAGGCCAGGCUUCUUGGAGCUUGUGAGAGGCUCAUCCAGCAACUCCAGCAGCACCCAGUCUCCUGCAGGAGGAAGCAGCUUCUCCAGGGCCUGGCUCUUGCAACCUGUUGUGACCAGCAGGGCCCAGCUUCCCCCAGAACUCCCUUGAAGAGCCUAGGAGUGAAAUGCCCCCCUCAAGGAGUCUCCUGUGACAAUUUCCCAGGGCAAUCCCCAAGAAAGUUUUGAGAGACAAUAUCUAGCUGUGUCCUCCAGCUGGAGUACAGCAAUCUUAGCUCACUGCAGCCUCAAACUCUUGAGCUCAAAUGAUCCUCCUGUCUCAGCCUCCUGAGUAGCUGGUACUAUAGGUGCGUAACCACAAUACCCAAUUUCAUUAUGGUUUCAAUUUGCAUUUCCCUAAUGACUAAUGAGGUUGUGAUGGCAGCCGUGGCCCAUCUGGAGGGGCCACUGUGAAGACGCCAGCUGCAGCAAGGGAGGUGCGGCUGCAGUGGUGUGCUCUGUGGGGCCAGCAGGAACUGGGAACAGGUGGGAGCCCCACCCCUUACCGAGCUAACACAGGAGUCCCAGGCUCCUGGGC